AGAGUUUGAUCCUGGCUCAGGACGAACGCUGGCGGCGUGCUUAACACAUGCAAGUCGAACGAUGAAGCCGCUUCGGUGGUGGAUUAGUGGCGAACGGGUGAGUAACACGUGGGCAAUCUGCCCUGCACUCUGGGACAAGCCCUGGAAACGGGGUCUAAUACCGGAUAUGACACGGGAUCGCAUGGUCUCCGUGUGGAAAGCUCCGGCGGUGCAGGAUGAGCCCGCGGCCUAUCAGCUUGUUGGUGGGGUGAUGGCCUACCAAGGCGACGACGGGUAGCCGGCCUGAGACGGCGACCGGCUACACUGGGACUGAGACACGGCCCAGACUCCUACGGGAGGCAGCAGUGGGGAAUCUUGCUCAAUGGGCGCAAGCCUGAUGCAGCGACGCCGCGUGUGGGAUGACGGCCUUCGGGUUGUAAACCUCUUUCAGCAGGGAAGAAGCGAGAGAGACGGUACCUGCAGAAGAAGCACCGGCUAACUACGUGCCAGCAGCCGCGGUAAUACGUAGGGUGCGAGCGUUGUCCGGAAUUAUUGGGCGUAAAGAGCUCGUAGGCGGCUUGUCGCGUCGGAUGUGAAAGCCCGGGGCUAAACCCCGGGUCUGCAUUCGAUACGGGCAGGCUAGAGUUCGGCAGGGGAGAUUGGCAUUCCUGGUGUAGCGGUGAAAUGCGCAGAUAUCAGGAGGAACACCGGUGGCGAAGGCGGAUCUCUGGGCCGAUACUGACGCUGAGGAGCGAAAGCGUGGGGAGCGAACAGGAUUAGAUACCCUGGUAGUCCACGCCGUAAACGUUGGGCACUAGGUGUGGGCGGCAUUCCACGUCGUCCGUGCCGCAGCUAACGCAUUAAGUGCCCCGCCUGGGGAGUACGGAAGC
RNAcentral lists this ribosomal RNA (869 nucleotides) under Streptomyces sp. SNSum6. Its description in RNAcentral is "bacterial SSU rRNA". It matches the Rfam family "Bacterial small subunit ribosomal RNA", at positions 8 to 889 of the family's 1533-position model. Lineage: Bacteria; Bacillati; Actinomycetota; Actinomycetes; Kitasatosporales; Streptomycetaceae. The record is from RNAcentral.